This 483-nucleotide ribosomal RNA is filed under the name uncultured bacterium. Its description in RNAcentral is "partial 16S ribosomal RNA". It matches the Rfam family "Bacterial small subunit ribosomal RNA", at positions 28 to 507 of the family's 1533-position model. The record is from RNAcentral.
GACGAACGCUGGCGGCGUGCCUAACACAUACAAGUCGAGCGGGGAUUUAAGUGGAAGUUCUUCGGAAUGGAGAUUUAAAUUCUAGCGGCGGACGGGUGAGUAACGCGUGAACAAUCUGUCCCGGACAGGGGGAUAACACUUGGAAACAGGUGCUAAUACCGCAUAAGACCACGGCCUCGCAUGGGGCUGAGGUAAAAGGAGCAAUCCGGUUCGGGGUGAGUUCGCGUCCGAUUAGCUAGUUGGUGAGGUAACGGCCCACCAAGGCGACGAUCGGUAGCCGGCCUGAGAGGGUGAACGGCCACAUUGGAACUGAGAGACGGUCCAAACUCCUACGGGAGGCAGCAGUGGGGAAUAUUGGGCAAUGGGCGAAAGCCUGACCCAGCAACGCCGCGUGAGGGAAGAAGGUUUUCGGAUUGUAAACCUCUGUCCUAUGGGACGAAGGAAGUGACGGUACCAUAGGAGGAAGCCCCGGCUAACUACGUG